ACGGGGAAUUAGGGUUCGAUUCCGGAGAGGGAGCCUGAGAAACGGCUACCACAUCCAAGGAAGGCAGCAGGCGCGCAAAUUACCCAAUGCCAAUUCGGCGAGGUAGUGACAAUAAAUAACAAUGCAGGGCCUUUAUGGUCUUGCAAUUGGAAUGAGUACAAUUUAAAUCCCUUAACGAGGAUCAAUUGGAGGGCAAGUCUGGUGCCAGCAGCCGCGGUAAUUCCAGCUCCAAUAGCGUAUAUUAAAGUUGCUGCAGUUAAAACGACCGAAGUCAAACCUCGGCCUUUAGGUUGGGUGGCCUAGUCUUCAUUGACUAAGCUCGCUUUAGCCAAGGCUUACAUCUGGCAGUGGCAUUUCUUUCGGGGGAUGUCUACCGGCCAGAUCUUUACCAUGAGCAAAUCAGAGUGUUUAAAGCAGGCUCAAUGGCUUGAAUGUGUUAGCAUGGAAUAAUGAAAUAUGGCUUGGGUCCUUAUUUCGUUGGUUUAUACGACCUUUGCAAUGAUAAAUAGGAACGGUUGGGGGGAUUUGUAUUUGGCCGCUAGAGGUGAAAUUCUUAGAUUGGCUAAAGACACACUACUGCGAAAGCAUUUUACCCAGGACGUUUCCGUUGAUCAAGGUCUAAAGUUAGGGGAUCGAAGACGAUUAGAUACCGUCGUAGUCCUAACCAUAAACUAUGCCGUCUAGGGAUCGGGCUUGCUUACUGGCUUGCUCGGAACCUUAGCG
Molecule: ribosomal RNA, 723 nt
Filed under: Saksenaea vasiformis
Lineage: Eukaryota; Fungi; Mucoromycota; Mucoromycetes; Mucorales; Saksenaeaceae
Description: SSU rRNA
Rfam family: Eukaryotic small subunit ribosomal RNA
Source: RNAcentral